UCCUACGGGAGGCAGCAGUAGGGAAUCUUCCGCAAUGGACGAAAGUCUGACGGAGCAACGCCGCGUGAGUGAUGAAGGCUUUCGGGUCGUAAAACUCUGUUGUUAGGGAAGAACAAGUGCUAGUUGAAUAAGCUGGCACCUUGACGGUACCUAACCAGAAAGCCACGGCUAACUACGUGCCAGCAGCCGCGGUAAUACGUAGGUGGCAAGCGUUAUCCGGAAUUAUUGGGCGUAAAGCGCGCGCAGGUGGUUUCUUAAGUCUGAUGUGAAAGCCCACGGCUCAACCGUGGAGGGUCAUUGGAAACUGGGAGACUUGAGUGCAGAAGAGGAAAGUGGAAUUCCAUGUGUAGCGGUGAAAUGCGUAGAGAUAUGGAGGAACACCAGUGGCGAAGGCGACUUUCUGGUCUGUAACUGACACUGAGGCGCGAAAGCGUGGGGAGCAAACAGGAUUAGAUACCCUGGUAGUCCACGCCGUAAACGAUGAGUGCUAAGUGUUAGAGGGUUUCCGCCCUUUAGUGCUGAAGUUAACGCAUUAAGCACUCCGCCUGGGGAGUACGGCCGCAAGGCUGAAACUCAAAGGAAUUGACA
RNAcentral lists this ribosomal RNA (588 nucleotides) under uncultured Bacillus sp. RNAcentral describes it as "bacterial SSU rRNA". It matches the Rfam family "Bacterial small subunit ribosomal RNA", at positions 337 to 915 of the family's 1533-position model. The record is from RNAcentral. Lineage: Bacteria; Bacillati; Bacillota; Bacilli; Caryophanales; Bacillaceae.